CUGUAACUUCUAUGGUUUGAGAAUACUCUUCUAAUUUAUUUGACAAAAGCUCUUUUAAAAAUCAUUUUCGUAUUAGAUCAUCAAAAACUGCGUAUUAUUGAAGAAUACAAAACCUUAUUUAGAGAUGAUUCAUGUCAGGGGUAAUUAAUCCAGGAAAUUAUUCCUCCUCCUUUGAGCAAGAUGCCAAUAUUUUUUCUCCUGAUUAGACGAUUUCGUCCUCCAUGUGGCAUUUU
RNAcentral lists this long non-coding RNA (233 nucleotides) under Brassica napus (rape). Its description in RNAcentral is "long non-coding RNA (BNAP_LNC010135)". The record is from RNAcentral. Lineage: Eukaryota; Viridiplantae; Streptophyta; Magnoliopsida; Brassicales; Brassicaceae.